RNAcentral lists this long non-coding RNA (569 nucleotides) under Fukomys damarensis (Damara mole-rat). Its description in RNAcentral is "lncRNA (ENSFDAG00000024043.1)". Lineage: Eukaryota; Metazoa; Chordata; Mammalia; Rodentia; Bathyergidae. The record is from RNAcentral.
AUGUGCAGGGGGGUGGCCCUUCCUUGCUCUGCUGUCUGGGGUGCUUUCUACAGAGAGGCUUCAGGAUGUACUCACAGAGAAGACAGCGUACAACAGCAGGCAGAGCAGGGCCACGGUUCUCCAGCCAGGGAUGCUGCAGCCACCAGGAGUUGGCAAGACCAGAGGAGAACCUGCCCUGAGCCUUCUGGGGAGUGUGGGGCCUAUGCCUGGGUCCUAGAACUCUGGCCGCCAGACCAGGGGAACUAUCUGUGCUGUUCCCAGCCACAGGGUUUGUGGCAAUCUGCUGCCCCACCACGCCGCGGGAGGCAGUCCCCGGAUCUGGCACUGUGGGCCUUCCGGCUCUGCCCCAAAGUCAAAAUGACCACGACAGGGAAACGUUUUGAAUCCACUCGGGACAUCGAUGCAUCCAGAAGAGCACAACUAAAGACACUCAGAAAGAGGACUCCAGAGCUGCUGCAGGAAGGGGCCAGGACACGGGAUGAGGGUGUGUGAAACGAGGGCAGGAUUUUGUGGGGGACUCGUGGCACUGCGUCGUCACUGUAAUGCAUUUUAUUAAACUUUCACCAUGA